RNAcentral lists this ribosomal RNA (253 nucleotides) under uncultured bacterium. RNAcentral's name for it is "partial 16S ribosomal RNA". It matches the Rfam family "Bacterial small subunit ribosomal RNA", at positions 524 to 776 of the family's 1533-position model. The record is from RNAcentral.
UACGAAGGGGGCUAGCGUUGCUCGGAAUCACUGGGCGUAAAGCGCACGUAGGCGGAUUGCUAAGUCAGGGGUGAAAUCCUGGAGCUCAACUCCAGAACUGCCUUUGAUACUGGCGACCUUGAGUCCGGGAGAGGUGAGUGGAACUGCGAGUGUAGAGGUGAAAUUCGUAGAUAUUCGCAAGAACACCAGUGGCGAAGGCGGCUCACUGGUCCGGUACUGACGCUGAGGUGCGAAAGCGUGGGGAGCAAACAGG